RNAcentral lists this ribosomal RNA (524 nucleotides) under uncultured bacterium. RNAcentral's name for it is "bacterial SSU rRNA". It matches the Rfam family "Bacterial small subunit ribosomal RNA", at positions 777 to 1301 of the family's 1533-position model. The record is from RNAcentral.
AAUAGAUACCCUGGUAGUCCACGCCGUAAACGAUGAGUGCUAAGUGUUAGAGGGUUUCCGCCCUUUAGUGCUGCAGCAAACGCAUUAAGCACUCCGCCUGGGGAGUACGGUCGCAAGACUGAAACUCAAAGGAAUUGACGGGGGCCCGCACAAGCGGUGGAGCAUGUGGUUUAAUUCGAAGCAACGCGAAGAACCUUACCAGGUCUUGACAUCCUCUGACAACCCUAGAGAUAGGGCUUCCCUUUCGGGGGCAGAGUGACAGGUGGUGCAUGGUUGUCGUCAGCUCGUGUCGUGAGAUGUUGGGUUAAGUCCCGCAACGAGCGCAACCCUUGAUCUUAGUUGCCAGCAUUCAGUUGGGCACUCUAAGGUGACUGCCGGUGACAAACCGGAGGAAGGUGGGGAUGACGUCAAAUCAUCAUGCCCCUUAUGACCUGGGCUACACACGUGCUACAAUGGGCAGAACAAAGGGCAGCGAAGCCGCGAGGCUAAGCCAAUCCCACAAAUCUGUUCUCAGUUCGGAUCGC